GUUGACCUCGGAUCAGGUAGGAAUACCCGCUGAACUUAAGCAUAUCAAUAAGCGGAGGAAAAGAAACCAACAGGGAUUGCCCUAGUAACGGCGAGUGAAGCGGCAACAGCUCAAAUUUGAAAUCUGGCCCUUGGGUCCGAAUUGUAAUUUGUAGAGGAUGAUUUUGGUGCGGUACCUUCCGAGUUCCUUGGAACAGGACGCCUUAGAGGGUGAGAGCCCCGUACGGUAGGAUACCUAGCCUCUGUAAAUCUCCUUCGACGAGUCGAGUAGUUUGGGAAUGCUGCUCUAAAUGGGAGGUAAAUUUCUUCUAAAGCUAAAUACUGGCCAGAGACCGAUAGCGCACAAGUAGAGUGAUCGAAAGAUGAAAAGCACUUUGAAAAGAGGGUUAAAUAGCACGUGAAAUUGUUGAAAGGGAAGGAUUUAUGACCAGACUUUUUCUGGGCAGAUCAUCCGGUGUUCUCACCGGUGCACUUUGCCCAGUUUAGGCCAGCAUCGAUUUCCGGAGGGGGAUAAAAGCUUUGGGAAUGUGGCUCCCUCGGGAGUGUUAUAGCCCAUUGUAUAAUACCUUUCUGGGGAUCGAGGUACGCGCUUCUGCAAGGAUGCUGGCGUAAUGGUUAUCAAUCACCCGUC
RNAcentral lists this ribosomal RNA (630 nucleotides) under Monochaetia dimorphospora. RNAcentral describes it as "eukaryotic LSU rRNA". It matches the Rfam family "Eukaryotic large subunit ribosomal RNA", at positions 1 to 653 of the family's 3401-position model. The record is from RNAcentral. Lineage: Eukaryota; Fungi; Ascomycota; Sordariomycetes; Amphisphaeriales; Sporocadaceae.